GAUGAAGAACGUAGCGAAAUGCGAUAAGUAGUGUGAAUUGCAGAAGUACCGUGAAUCAUCGAAUCUUUGAACGCAAAUUGCACUCUCUGGUAUUCCGGGGAGUAUGCCUGUUUGAGGGUCGCUUAACAAACCAUCGAUUUCGUUGCUUUUUUUUAAAGAGUGAUGUUUAUCGGAUUUGAGCCGUCUUUUUUUUUUAUAUUUAAGUGGCUUAAAAUUGAUUUUUUUGGUAUGAUCGAAGCGUAUUUUUAUGAUCAAUUUUUGGUUAAAGAAACGCACACGUACCGUUAUUUAUAUGAUGUAAUACGUUUGACUAUUGGAUUUAGUUCAUUCGUAUACGAUAUUUUUCAAUAUUUGACCUCAAAUCAGGUAAGAACACCCGCUGAACUUAAGCAUAUCAAUAAGCGGAGGA
RNAcentral lists this unclassified non-coding RNA (409 nucleotides) under soil metagenome. RNAcentral describes it as "partial contains 5.8S ribosomal RNA, internal transcribed spacer 2, and large subunit ribosomal RNA". The stretch from base 1 to 121 matches the Rfam family "5.8S ribosomal RNA", at positions 35 to 154 of the family's 154-position model. The record is from RNAcentral.